AACGAACGCUGGCGGCAUGCCUAACACAUGCAAGUCGAACGAUUGCCUUCGGGUGAUAGUGGCGCACGGGUGCGUAACGCGUGGGAAUCUGCCCUUAGGUUCGGAAUAACAGCUGGAAACGGCUGCUAAUACCGGAUGAUAUCGCGAGAUCAAAGAUUUAUCGCCUGAGGAUGAGCCCGCGUUGGAUUAGGUAGUUGGUGGGGUAAAGGCCUACCAAGCCGACGAUCCAUAGCUGGUCUGAGAGGAUGAUCAGCCACACUGGGACUGAGACACGGCCCAGACUCCUACGGGAGGCAGCAGUGGGGAAUAUUGGACAAUGGGCGCAAGCCUGACCCAGCAAUGCCGCGUGAGUGAUGAAGGCCCUAGGGUUGUAAAGCUCUUUUACCCGGGAAGAUAAUGACUGUACCGGGAGAAUAAGCCCCGGCUAACUCCGUG
RNAcentral lists this ribosomal RNA (435 nucleotides) under uncultured bacterium. Its description in RNAcentral is "partial 16S ribosomal RNA". It matches the Rfam family "Bacterial small subunit ribosomal RNA", at positions 29 to 507 of the family's 1533-position model. The record is from RNAcentral.